CAGAGGGUAGUUAAAUUAAGAAUUUUAGCUUUGGGAGCUAACGGUGGGAGUUAAAAUCUCCUCUCUCUGA
RNAcentral lists this transfer RNA (70 nucleotides) under Lestidium atlanticum (Atlantic barracudina). RNAcentral describes it as "tRNA-Pro". It matches the Rfam family "tRNA". From Rfam's summary of the family: Transfer RNA (tRNA) molecules are approximately 80 nucleotides in length. Their secondary structure includes four short double-helical elements and three loops (D, anti-codon, and T loops). The record is from RNAcentral. Lineage: Eukaryota; Metazoa; Chordata; Actinopteri; Aulopiformes; Paralepididae. RNAcentral also lists the same sequence under 4 other names.